Campylobacter gracilis RM3268 is the source of this 317-nucleotide non-coding RNA. It matches the Rfam family "Bacterial RNase P class A". Rfam says of the family: Ribonuclease P (RNase P) is a ubiquitous endoribonuclease, found in archaea, bacteria and eukarya as well as chloroplasts and mitochondria. Its best characterised activity is the generation of mature 5'-ends of tRNAs by cleaving the 5'-leader elements of precursor-tRNAs. The record is from Rfam. Lineage: Bacteria; Pseudomonadati; Campylobacterota; Epsilonproteobacteria; Campylobacterales; Campylobacteraceae.
CGGGUGUGGCGUGCGGUCGCUCCGCAAGGAGAGGAAAGUCCGAGCUGCGAUAAGACAAGGUUGCGUCUAACGGACGCCGGGGGCAACCCUAGGGAAAGUACAACAGAAAGCAAACCGCCGCGCAAGCGGUAAGGGUGAAAGGGUGGGGUAAGAGCCCACCGCGCGCGUGGAGACACGGGCGGCAAUGCAAACCCAACCUGCAGCAAGAACGGGUGGUUUCGUCUUAUAUUCGAACCGUUCGCUCGAACCGAUUUGCAAAAAUCGGUCUAGAUAAAUGACCGCUGUAACGGAACUCGGCUUAUAACCACACCUAUUUU